UGAAGCUCCAUGAGACCUCUCCUCGUCUAUGCACAGACUGGCGGCUGACUCUGGAGCCCAGACUGUUGCUUCCUGGUCUAGUGAUCCUUCCUCCAUAGUCUGAAGCAGUGGGAGUCCCAGAACUGAUGACUCUCUAGAAGAUGGAGAAGCCAGGAGGAAUUCAGAGAGAAACAGGAAGGGGAGAGAAAAAAGGAGAGAAGUGGACUUGGCGAGAGAAGGAGACAGAGAGCGAGACAGAGAGGCAGAGACAUCAUGCCUUUUUCCUUGAAGGUCAUCUUUACUAGGCCUCCGAGGACAAAAAUACCAUACUGCCUCAUCUGAGGGCAGAUGAAGUCAGUGGCCAGGCCUUUGUGGCACGAAGCUGGCAGUCUAGGACCUGAGGGCAAGCCUCCAGUCAAAGCCAGCAAACAGGGGGACCCUCCCCAACCCCACCCUUGGUACAGUUGCAAGGAAGUGAAUGCUGCCAACAGCCUGAGUGAAUCUGGGAGUGGAUUCUUCCCCAGCCCUGGAACCUUUUCCUUAAACAAAAAUCUCACAAGAAAACUCAGUCUGCAAGAACAAAAGUGGAGCUGCUCUGAAGGAGUGCAAGGAGGGCUGGUUGGGACAGGAAGUCCCGCCCUCUCAACCCCAGUGCAGCUCUCAAUCAAUGAGAGCACGAAGAAUGUUCCCAAUCCACAGGCAGAGACCCUUCCACAGCUGGGAUCUUCUCCACCUGGAGGACUACGUUCCCCACCCCACCUUGCAAGUGGCUUGACAUGAAUUUGUUAUCUGUGAGACAAAUGUUCUUGGCCUGCCAAGGAGAGCUUUAAAUAGACUCUGAGUUAAAAGGAAGCUUAUCCAUUAUUUAGUCCAGCUCUUAGCUCGGGCAAGAAUUCCUUACACAUCCCCACCAAGAGGCAAUCUAGAUUCUCUCUGAAUACUCCCCACAAUGGGUGGCUCACUAUCUCACAAAGCAGGUGUCUCACUGUUAGGCAGCUCCUAUUAAAACACAAACCUGCCACCUUAUAGCCCUCAUCCACUGGCUCUGCCUCUGGAGCUCAAAGAAUAAGUCAUGAAGUCGUGGAACUUAUACUAAAAGGAAUGCAGCUCACCCCAGGCUAGUCUUCUCCCCUCCUGUUCCAUUCUCCUUAGAGGGCACUUGUGUAGAUUAUUAUAUUGGUGGUCAAGGAAACAUGUCACUUAGUAUUUGUGGACUGUGUAUUCCCCUUUCUCAUUGACUCUUGGAUUAUCCUCAUGACUUGCUUUGGCCAAUGGGAUAUUAGCAGGCAUAAAGCCUUGGAAGCACUUGCAAAUUUGGGCUUGCCCCCUUAGAAAGUUCCUCCUUGGAAGCCAGCUGCCAUGCUGAAGGAAGCUCAAGUUUGGCUACUGAAUGGUGCAAGGCCAUGUGGAGAGAGGCCCUGGAGAAGGGUAGUCCAUUUUUUUCCUUUUUUUUUUAUGCUUAAUGUUUGUGGGUACAUAGUAGGUGUGUAUAUCUAUGGGGUACAGGAGAUGUUUUGAUACAGGCAUGCAAUGUGGAAUAAUCACAUCAUGGAAAAUGGGGUAUGAGGAGAGGCCAUUUUGGAUGUUCCAAUCACAAGCAAGCUCCCAGCUGAAGGCAACCACAGGAGUGACCUAAGCAAUACACAAGGAACAGAAGAGCUGCCCUGCUAAGCUCAGCCAAACCACAGGAUCUUGUGAAAUAAUAAAUUGUUGUUUUAAGCAACUAAAUUUUGGAAUGGGUUGGUAAACAGUGAUAGAGAAUUGAAAACUACUGACAGAGUUCUUCUAGGAGCACAUUUCUAGGAUAAUAUGGCCAAAAUUUUUCAUCUCAGAUCAGCCAUUUACAAAGAGUAUAGACAACCUGCCUAAGCCAAGAGAUAGCAAACAUCUUUACUGGAGAUACUGGGAGCUCGGCCACUUAGAAUUAAAUCAGAAGGAGUCAGUCAGAGAUGGGAAGGAGUUAGGAGCCUUUGGCUUGAGCAAGUCAGAGAGCCCUGUCUGAAUGACAAAUUAUAUGGAACAGCUUGGCUUUCCUCACAAAAUAAAAUUAUUGCUUCAGUUCAAAUUCCUUGCCACUUAUAAAUUACUUUUAAUUUUAUUGCCCUACAGACCAUGUCCAGAUAGGUUUGGAUGCUAUGCUGUUUUUUAUAUGCCAUUCUCCAAAGCGGUGAAGGUACAAAUCAUGGGCCAUCCCAAGUGGUUUGGGGAAGAGAUGUUUUUUCUUUCAAAAACAAGGUUUAGGUGCAUAUUUGUGGUAAUGACAUAGAAAUGAAAACACAGCAAGAUCAAUUGGAGUUUAUAAUAGCAUUCUGAACAGGGAGAAAUAGGGUGAAAUGCUCCUGGAUGAGGCUGUCCCAGCCUUCUCCCAGCAUUCACUCCAUAAGCCUUUAUUGAGCACCUACAGUCCCUGCCUUCCAGGCACUCAUGUUCAAGGGAGGAGACUGACAGGUGGAGCAGCAGGUGCAAUACAGUGUGAUAACGAGGAAGUCUGGGACAACGGAAGUACCUACAAGAGGCCUGUCUCCUAAAAGAAGCUCUAUCUAGGCUGAGAGCAAAAGGGUCAAUGGAGCAAGUUGAACAAAGAGAAGGGACAUUCAUUGAUUGCAGAGAUUACUAGCUCCUACCCAAUAUCUAUCUAUCUCUUUUUCCUGAUGAUUAGAACAUCAUUUUAUCCUGCUAGGCAAUAUUUCUAGCUAAAGGACUACAUUUCCCAGACUUCCUUGUAGCUAGCAAUGAAUAAUGGGAUAAAAAUACAAGUUUAUAGGGUUUCUUGGAAGGAGUUCUGACUCAACUAGGAGAUACAACCAAGUUCCUCCAUCUUUCUGCCUGGAAUGUGGACUUGAUGGCUGGAGUGCCAGCAGCUAUUUUGUGUCAUAAAGCAAACUUGAGAUGGAAACCAACUACUAAGUAUGGUAGAGCAGAAAGUUAAGAAGAGCUUGCGUCCUGACAACUGUGAAGCUGCUAUAUCAGCCCUGGAGAGCCACCCUUCUGGCUUCUUUCACAUGCCAAAUAAAUAAAUGUCAGAUUUAAACUA
Molecule: long non-coding RNA, 3013 nt
Organism: Symphalangus syndactylus (siamang)
Lineage: Eukaryota; Metazoa; Chordata; Mammalia; Primates; Hylobatidae
Source: RefSeq, a predicted model, not a curated record